RNAcentral lists this ribosomal RNA (843 nucleotides) under Dactylogyrus oligospirophallus. RNAcentral describes it as "eukaryotic LSU rRNA". It matches the Rfam family "Eukaryotic large subunit ribosomal RNA", at positions 35 to 612 of the family's 3401-position model. Lineage: Eukaryota; Metazoa; Platyhelminthes; Monogenea; Dactylogyridea; Dactylogyridae. The record is from RNAcentral.
UAAGCAUAUCAGUAAGGGGGAGGAAAAGAAACUAACCAGGAUUCUCCUAGUAACGGCGAGUGAACGGAGAUUAGCCCAUCACCGAAGUCUAUCCGCGUUUGUGGACAGGACAAUGUGGUGUUUGGACGUGCCCCUGGGAACGCUGGCCUACCCGAAGUCCAUCUCCGAUUCUGGCCUGGACCAUUGCCAUAGAGGGUGAAAGACCCUUGCGGGUAGGCUGUGAGUGUUUUAAUGCGUUCCUCAGACGGGUGCGUCUUCGAGUCGGAUUGCUUGAGAAUGCAGUCCAAAGUGGGUGGUAAACUCCAUCCAAGGCUAAAUACUGGCACGAGUCCGAUAGUAGACAAGUACCGUGAGGGAAAGUUGAAAAGUACUCUGAAGAGAGAGUAAAGAGCACGUGAAGCCGCUUGCAGGGAAGCUGGUGGAGUCAAGCUUCAUGCCUGGAGGAUUGCCUUGAGAGACUGGUUUGGUGUUUGGGCGAGGUGUCGGUGAGCCUGGAAAGGGUUCGACGCAUGCAAGUGCGUUGCAAGUCAUUCCGGGAAGGGUGUUUGUGCCGGUGCCUGUGUGUUGCCCUGUGUCUCUUUUGGCUUAUUCUCCGCGGCAUACACCACGGUCAAUAGGAUCAACCUUGUUGCAUGUACUGUGUGAGUGCUUAACCGAGCCUCUGUGGACUUAACCGUCUGCGGGGCUCGGAAUGGCAGAAGGCGCAUGUGGACCUCCGGUCUGCACUGUGCUAAUGAUGGUUUUGACCUGCUAGUGCUCAUGUACAGUAUCGAUCCUAUUGUUCUUAUGCGGUGCUCGCUCCCCGGAGCGAGUGUCGGUGGAAACCGUGGUGCUGAGGUAGAU